RNAcentral lists this ribosomal RNA (798 nucleotides) under uncultured Campylobacterota bacterium. RNAcentral describes it as "bacterial SSU rRNA". It matches the Rfam family "Bacterial small subunit ribosomal RNA", at positions 324 to 1138 of the family's 1533-position model. Lineage: Bacteria; Pseudomonadati; Campylobacterota. The record is from RNAcentral.
ACACGGACCAGACUCCUACGGGAGGCAGCAGUGAGGAAUAUUGCACAAUGGAGGACACUCUGAUGCAGCAACGCCGCGUGGAGGAUGACGCAUUUCGGUGUGUAAACUCCUUUUAUCAGAGAAGAAGAUGACGGUCUCUGAUGAAUAAGCUCCGGCUAACUCCGUGCCAGCAGCCGCGGUAAUACGGAGGGAGCAAGCGUGAUUCGGAAUCACUGGGCGUAAAGGACGCGUAUGCGGGUUUUUCAGUCCGGUGUGAAAUCCUACAGCUCAACUGUAGAACUGCACUUGAAACUGGGAACCUAGAGUAUGGAAGGGGCAGGUGGAAUUAGUGGUGUAGGGGUAAAAUCCGUAGAUAUCACUAGGAAUACCGAAAGCGAAGGCGACCUGCUGGGACAUUACUGACGCUGAUGCGUGAAAGCGUGGGGAGCAAACAGGAUUAGAUACCCUGGUAGUCCACGCCCUAAACGAUGAAUGCUAGUCGUCGGAGAGCUCGUCUCUUCGGUGAUGCACUUAACAGAUUAAGCAUUCCGCCUGGGGAGUACGGUCGCAAGAUUAAAACUCAAAGGAAUAGACGGGGACCCGCACAAGUGGUGGAGCAUGUGGUUUAAUUCGAAGAUACGCGAAGAACCUUACCUAGCCUUGACAUUGAUAGAACGGACCAGAGAUGGACCGGUGCCUUUCGGGGAACUUGAAAACAGGUGCUGCACGGCUGUCGUCAGCUCGUGUCGUGAGAUGUUGGGUUAAGUCCCGCAACGAGCGCAACCCUCGUCGUUAGUUGCUAACAGUUCGGCUGAACAC